AGCGUGUAUAAUCAAGUCUUCAAACCUCGUCGAAGUAAACGAUGAGUAAUUACUAACAGAAGGUCGUCUUUGUUCGUGUUUAUUCAAAGAAACAGAAGGACAUGGGAGAGAAGGAUUUAUAGAAAAGCCCAGGGAGAGUGAUGGUGUCGGAUAGAGAUGAUCAUCAAUUGUAAAAUGACAUAGCAAAGGGAAGGCACAAUGAUCAUUUAGUGGAAAGUAUCAAGUACCAGUAGUGAAGAUGAAAAAGAAGACAACAACCAAGACAUGACAACAGACUUACUACACGACCAAAACUACUAAUCUGAUGCACUGAAGUAAGGGAGUAUGACAAUGAUAUACAACGGUAUGAAAUAGGUAAACAGCAAUUGUAUUUUUAUUGUUUUGUGAUGUAGAUGUUUAGUAAUGGUUUGUAAUAGAUGGUUUAGUAGUAAGAUAAAACGUCUGUGUUUAAUGUAAUUCAUAGAACGAUAUGUUAGGAAGUGGUAGGAUGUGGUUUAAUUUAAUGGUACGAUAAGUAAGGAAACAUGUUUCUCGGUUUAAUAAUAAACGUAUUUCUCGGUUUA
Molecule: long non-coding RNA, 563 nt
Organism: Brassica oleracea var. oleracea
Lineage: Eukaryota; Viridiplantae; Streptophyta; Magnoliopsida; Brassicales; Brassicaceae
Exons: 3
Source: RefSeq, a predicted model, not a curated record